Molecule: ribosomal RNA, 773 nt
Filed under: uncultured Neocallimastigales
Lineage: Eukaryota; Fungi; Neocallimastigomycota; Neocallimastigomycetes; Neocallimastigales
Description: partial large subunit ribosomal RNA
Rfam family: Eukaryotic large subunit ribosomal RNA
Source: RNAcentral
AGAGAGAGACAUGCGCGCAUAUCAAUAAGCGGAGGAAAAGAAACUAACUAGGAUUCCCUCAGUAACGGCGAGUGAAGCGGGAAGAGCUCAAAUUUGAAAUCUUCAAGGUUCUACCUUGACGAAUUGUAGUUUAAAGAAGUGUUUUCUGUUGAGUUUUGGUAAAAGUUCUUUGGAAUAGGACAUCAUAGAGGGUGAGAAUCCCGUAUUUGACCAUUAUUUCCAGCUUUGUGAUACACUUUCAAAGAGUCGGAUUGUUUGGGAAUGCAGUCCAAAAUGGGUGGUAAAUUUCAUCUAAAGCUAAAUACUGGCGAGAGACCGAUAGCGAACAAGUACCGUGAGGGAAAGAUGAAAAGAACUUUGAAAAGAGAGUUAAACAGUAACGUGAAAUUGUCAAAAGGGAAGCGUUUGACACCAGUGUUGUUUUCUCGAAAAUCAAUUAAAAAAGGCAGGAUUUUGUGUUGUAUUGACUUUAUCAGCUUUCUGCACUCUUUUCUUGUCUUUUUUAAUGCACUUUUCGUUUAACAAGUCAACAUCAAUUUCUUUUAUUGUAAAAGGGUCAUUGGAAGGUGGCUUUCUUUUCGGAGAAAGUGUUUAUAGCCUUGGCCUCUGCAAUCGGAGAGAUUGAGGUCUGCAGCGUAGAUCCUUCGGGGUUAGAUACAUUUGUGCUAAGUUAUAGCCUUUCAUAGACAACUUGUUGACUAUGAUCAGUCAUGUAGCUUACUCGCUUAUGCUAUUUUACCUACGCUUAGGAUGUUGAUGUGAUACUGCGAGCA